Molecule: ribosomal RNA, 253 nt
Filed under: uncultured bacterium
Lineage: Bacteria
Description: partial 16S ribosomal RNA
Rfam family: Bacterial small subunit ribosomal RNA
Source: RNAcentral
UACGUAGGGCGCAAGCGUUGUCCGGAUUUAUUGGGCGUAAAGAGCUCGUAGGCGGCCUGUCGCGUCGACUGUGAAAACCCGCGGCUUAACCGUGGGACUGCAGUCGAUACGGGCAGGCUCGAGUUCGGUAGGGGAGACUGGAAUUCCUGGUGUAGCGGUGAAAUGCGCAGAUAUCAGGAGGAACACCGGUGGCGAAGGCGGGUCUCUGGGCCGAUACUGACGCUGAGGAGCGAAAGCGUGGGGAGCGAACAGG